RNAcentral lists this ribosomal RNA (800 nucleotides) under uncultured bacterium. RNAcentral's name for it is "bacterial SSU rRNA". It matches the Rfam family "Bacterial small subunit ribosomal RNA", at positions 101 to 896 of the family's 1533-position model. The record is from RNAcentral.
AACGGGUGAGUAAUGCAUCGGAACGUACCCAGUAGUGGGGGAUAACUUACCGAAAGGUAAGCUAAUACCGCAUACGCACUGAGGUGGAAAGCAGGGGACCGCAAGGCCUUGCGCUAUUGGAGCGGCCGAUGUCGGAUUAGCUAGUUGGUGGGGUAAAGGCCUACCAAGGCGACGAUCCGUAGCGGGUCUGAGAGGAUGAUCCGCCACACUGGAACUGAGACACGGUCCAGACUCCUACGGGAGGCAGCAGUGGGGAAUUUUGGACAAUGGGCGCAAGCCUGAUCCAGCCAUGCCGCGUGAGUGAAGAAGGCCUUCGGGUUGUAAAGCUCUUUCGGCCGGGAAGAAAUCGUGGUGGCGAAUACCUGCCAUGGAUGACGGUACCGGACUAAGAAGCACCGGCUAACUACGUGCCAGCAGCCGCGGUAAUACGUAGGGUGCGAGCGUUAAUCGGAAUUACUGGGCGUAAAGCGUGCGCAGGCGGUUGUGUAAGACAGGCGUGAAAUCCCCGGGCUCAACCUGGGAACUGCGCUUGUGACUGCACGGCUAGAGUACGGCAGAGGGGGGUGGAAUUCCACGUGUAGCAGUGAAAUGCGUAGAGAUGUGGAGGAACACCGAUGGCGAAGGCAGCCCCCUGGGUCGAUACUGACGCUCAUGCACGAAAGCGUGGGGAGCAAACAGGAUUAGAUACCCUGGUAGUCCACGCCCUAAACGAUGUCGACUAGUUGUUGGAGGGGUAAAACCCUUUAGUAACGUAGCUAACGCGUGAAGUCGACCGCCUGGGGAGUACGGCCGCAAGGUUA